CUUCUAGGAGGAAGAGAGACGUUUUCCUCUAUCCGAGUGAGCGCCGGAGAAGAACGUUACGCAAGAAUUUGAUGGCGCUAGCAGAGACUAUUUGGUAGCGUAUGCUGGAAUGCGUAAGGAUGACAGGACUAUUAUUGCAUUUUCACGAGCUCUAGAUUGAAAAAUAACAAGGCCCGAGCGAAAACACGAUGCAGAUGGAUCUAUUCUUUUGAUCUGGAUCAGCACCAUACGCUGUUGAGUAUAUUUUCUCUGGGCUUUCCCAAGUUCGAGCAUCCCAAGUAUCACACCUGGACCUCCAGCACUUUCAAUCUCACGAUCCUCGCAGAAAUAGGAUUUGUAGAUGCGGAAAUGGUCUCUUAACUGAUUCUUUCGACAUCAGUCAUUGUCUUUUCACCUGCUCUUCAGGAUGAGCAAUGUCAGCUAGAAUCGAAAUUCAUCAACAUACUCGACCGAAAUAACAUCAAAGACGUU
Daphnia magna is the source of this 471-nucleotide long non-coding RNA. RefSeq lists it as uncharacterized. The transcript has 3 exons. NCBI's taxonomy places the organism in Eukaryota, Metazoa, Arthropoda, Branchiopoda, Diplostraca, Daphniidae. The record is from RefSeq and is a predicted model, not a curated record.